Hibiscus syriacus is the source of this 235-nucleotide long non-coding RNA. RefSeq lists it as uncharacterized. The transcript is spliced from 2 exons. NCBI's taxonomy places the organism in Eukaryota, Viridiplantae, Streptophyta, Magnoliopsida, Malvales, Malvaceae. The record is from RefSeq and is a predicted model, not a curated record.
GGGUAGCAAGUUGGGGAUUGGAGGUGGAGGCAUAGCAGGAAUAGUAAUAUCCAUCCUUAUUGUCGGGGCUAUUGUAGCAUUUUUUCUGGUGAAGAGAAGAUCCAGGAGGCCAUCCUCGGAUAUUGAAAAGCAUGAUAAUCAAUCGUUUGCUCCUCUUCCUUCUAAUGAAGUACAAGAAAUGAAAUCCAUAGUCUUCCUCUUCAGUUAACACCAAGACCUUUGAUACAUCUCCUUC